UAUUGGCUUACCGUGGCAGUGACGGUUAACGGGGAAUUAGGGUUCAAUUCCGGAGAGGGAGCCUGAGAAACGGCUACCACAUCUAAGGAAGGCAGCAGGCGCGCAAAUUACCCAAUUCUAAUAGCAUAAGAGAGGUAGUGACAAGAAAUAACAGUACAAGGCAGUUUAAAUGCUUUGUAAUUGGAAUGAUAGAAAUUUAAAUACUUUUUAAAGUAUCAAUUGGAGGGCAAGUCUGGUGCCAGCAGCCGCGGUAAUUCCAGCUCCAAUAGCGUAUAUUAAAAUUGUUGCAGUUAAAAAGCUCGUAGUUGAAUUUUUGCUAAAAAUAACCGGUCUGCUUUUAUUAAUAAAGGUGGCAUCUUGGUGUGUUUUUAGCAAUAAUGUCCUUUGAAAUGUUUUUUACUUUAUUGUAAAAGACAAUUUUCAGGAUUUUUACUUUGAGAAAAUUAGAGUGUUUCAAGCAGGCUAACGUUUUGAAUACUGCAGCAUGGAAUAAUAAAAUAGGAUUUUAGUUCUACGUUAAUGGUUUUAAGAGCUAAAUUAAUGAUUGAUAGGAGCAGUUGGGGGCAUUUGUAUUUAACU
Molecule: ribosomal RNA, 579 nt
Filed under: Hepatozoon sp.
Lineage: Eukaryota; Apicomplexa; Hepatozoidae
Description: SSU rRNA
Rfam family: Eukaryotic small subunit ribosomal RNA
Source: RNAcentral